Molecule: ribosomal RNA, 417 nt
Filed under: uncultured archaeon
Lineage: Archaea
Description: partial 16S ribosomal RNA
Rfam family: Archaeal small subunit ribosomal RNA
Source: RNAcentral
GUGCAGCAGGCGCGAAAACUCCGCAAUACGCGCAAGCGUGACGGGGGGACCCCAAGUACACUUGCAUUUAGUAAGUGUUUUUGUAGAGUGUAAAUAGCUCUGCGAAUAAAAGCGGGGUAAGACCGGUGCCAGCCGCCGCGGUAACACCGGCCGCUUGAGUGGUGACCGCUAUUAUUGGGCCUAAAGCGUCCGUAGCCGGUUUGGCGAGUCCUUGGGUAAAUCCACUCGUUCCACGAAUGGAAUUCUGAGGAUACUGCCAGACUCGGGGGCGGGAGAUGCGAGAGGUACUCCUAGGGUAUCGGUGAAAUCCUAUAAUCCUAGGGGGACCACCAGUGGCGAAGGCGUUCUGCGAGAACGGGCUCGACGGUGAGGGACGAAAGCCAGGGGCGCAAACGGGAUUAGAUACCCCGGUAGUCC